UAUCCUGGGAAUGUUUGUCUCUUCUAGUAAACACGGUGAUGUGAGGUGAGCCUUGUACCAGUCCUCUAUCAGGAAUGCUUUAAGAAGGAAUAAAAAAAGGUGCAGCAAAGUGACUUACUCCAAUUGUUGGAAUCCUCACUGCACAGCAGACUGGUUGAGCUCCCUGAGUCUUUUGGCAGCAGGCAAGGUUUAAUGCCUUGUGAAGCAAAUUGGUUCCACCUAACUUCUGUUUCUGAGCUGUAAUAACAAUUGCAGGCUCAUUUGCUAUCUAAAGAAGCUGUCUAGGUACAUCAGAGGGCUGCUACUUUUUGUCUUUUCAUUUCUGAUGAGACAGAGACCACAAAAAUUGCACUUCAGCUGGUAAGAUCUGUUGCUUGAGUAUAGGCAUACGUGCAUAGUUAGCCAUGGAAAACUGAUCCCUAGUUCCAUGUGAUUGACCAAAAGUGCCGAAGAUUCUUUCUGACUAUGUAAAUAGGAUCUUUUUGACUGAUGUACAGAGACAAAUGGGAGAAGAGAAAUGCAGUAAAACACCCAUUAGCUACUGAAAUGUCUUCUGGAGCCAAACUGUGAUUAGCUUUGCUAAUUAGUUGGCUCCAAGUGCUUUGAUUGGUUGCUGUGCUUGAUCAUCGCAUGGCCUUUCACAGCAAUGCCUGGAUUGUAAUCAAUCAAAAGCUCCCUACUAAGGCUAUUUGAAUUGUUCCUUUGCUGCAGAAUACCUUGCUUCUUUUUGAUGUCAGCGCAUCACUUGAGAACCUGUAGCAGGAGGUCUGAACGGUGGCUUUGCAAUAUCUGUAGGAGCAGAGAAAUAACAGGUGGCAAUGGUAGGUAGCCCUCUGAUGUAAGGACUGUGUGGAAGAAACCAUUUCCUGAAAAUACAGUGGCUUCCAUCUGCUGGAAGUGCAGAUUGGAGACAGCUGGAGGAGAAUCCAAUGAUACAAUAUCAAAGAGAAUAUUACUGCUAGAGCAGGCCGGAGAUUGAUAGAGAAGUAACUGAAACUGAGAGUAAUACUGAGGAUAAGCUUUGGUUCCAUUUUUUAACAGACUUUUGAGACAGGGGGAAUUGUCAAAUAACCUAUCAUUACAGAUCAGUACAGGACAGUAUGUGUUUCCAAGGUGCAACUGAGGUAUUUGCCUGGCUUUGACCUGCCUUUUUGGAAUACUGUAUGUAACAAAGCAGUAUGUUUUCCUCAAUUGAUGGUAUUUUGUGUAAAUAGUGCUUGUCUUAAGCAUAUACAAACUCUUGCCUUUUCCCAUGCACAAAGUUUUUGUUAGAAUGUUCUGUUGCUCCUUUCAAAAGUAGCAUGUAGCUUCCUAUCUCCUGUAGUGCUUUUUCUGUCUGGCUAUAGAAAUGUUUUAACAGCUUGUCUGGCUGCCAAAGUUCUGCUGUAAAGAAGUAAAGGACCAGAACCACUUAAUGAUUCUGGGUGCAACUAUCAUGUUCCCCAUGCACUCCGUUUAUGUGAAACACUGCAAAUCUCAGAGUUGCCAGAAACAUCCAAAUUAAUCUGAAAGGAUGAAAAUAAAUCUCUUUACUGGAUCUGUUCCAGGCAGCAGUUCCUAAUAUAGAAUAACAAUAGGUGUUAUCCCAAAGUAGGCUUAAUAUUCAAUAAUUUCCAGACCUCUAAUGUUCUCCUGUUUCCCUAAGGGAAAAAAAAAAGUCUUACGAAGAAUCAUUUCUACAUAUGUGUAAGCAGUGAGGCAUCAGCAAAAAAUAGAAUUGGGAAUUGCAGAUAGUUCUACAGCAGUUUCAAAAUACGUGUGUGCUUAUUAUAUGCUGCCCUUACUUUGCAAAAUUUUGUUGUGUUCCAUAACACUGUAAUUGUACACUUUGUUAUUGCCAUAGGUUUUCUUUUUUCCUAUUUAUUUUCAUGUAGCAAAGCAGUCUUUUCAUAAAACCUUAGUUCUGCGUCUUUUCUGUUUUAGCCUGCAUUAUAGUUACCCCUGGGAGUGUCUUUGAAGGCAAGGCAGGUACUUGUACAAUUUAUUCAGUGAUACUGAGGAUCAGGAGCAGUGCCCUGGUGACAGAACAGGACCUUUGCAGUUCCCUGCUCCUUUUUUGCAGUGUCCUAAAGUUAGACAUCAUCAAGCAAACAGUCUUUGUGACUACCCAGAACAGCAAGGCACAAUUCCCCCUGAUCCAGGAUGCCUGAAGAGCAGUAGCAUGAGCAACCACAGAAGACUGUGUUUGCAGGGAAUAAAGAAUGAGAAAGGGGCCACAGCUAAACAGGCAGCGCCUUCAGGAAAGAGAAGCUGCUUGGGAAACAGUCUGCAGUCCUUAUAGAAAGAAAAUUCCCUAGCAUGAAGGGAGAUGGACUGGUGAUGCUGGUGGCGGUGAUGCUGGUGAUGGAGGAAGGAUGUUGGUGAGCUACCGGGAAGGAGGAAGAAUUGGUUUGGAGAGUGUGGAGAACACAAGAAGGUUUGUGAAGUUCUUGAGAGAGGGCAUGGGUUGUUUGGUGUGUGUUGCUGUGAGCCUGUGUGCAUCUUAGAAGUAAGCACAGAUGGUUUCUUGACCUCACCAUCCCCAUCCGCCAGCCUGUAGAUCAGAGCUGUGCUGGAGAGCUUUGUACUGCUGACACAAAGUGUGUUGGAGGCAGGAUGAUGCUGCUGGAGAAGUUAAGCCCAUGUGUGUUCCUGUAGACCCACCAUUGUGCAGCCAGCUGAAGUUACCUUUGACCUAAACUGAGAGACUUAACAAAUAGAAGGUGAAUCAUCUGUUUCAUUAAAUCAGAGGCCGCUUCAAGCACUGCAGCCCAAUUAUGCCACAUGUUGCACAUAGCCUGAAAAGUGUUGGUGCAGAAAUAGGAUCCAUGUGGGCAGAUCCUUAAUGGGGAACACAUCUUGCUGAAGAACGGCCUCAGAUAUCUGCCUGCACAGAUCAGGUUAACAGGAUUCAAACCUCAACUCGUAAUUUAUAGUGUUGAGCAGCCCUCAAGAGGAGGGAACAAUCUGUAGGAGGUACAGCAUGAAGUGGACAGUACAGUGAUGUGCAUUUCCCCUCCAACAAGCAAGGCUUGCUGCCUUUGCUUUGGUGUAAGGCUGUGUGCACCAGGAAUAAGCAAGAAUAUCAAGGUCUGGCCUGGAUUCCUCUCUUGAGGAAAGAGACAGAUGAUAUCAUUGUUGGAGUUGUUUGGACAUCACAAAGGUACUUACUGAAAUGAGAAAAAUAUGGUUUCAAUUCAUUUUGUAAUAAUAAUAACAUAACAGAAUGCUAUGAGGGCCAGGAACCUCACUGAGAAAAGAACCUUUGCAUCCUGAAGAACUUUGCCAAAUGAAUAAGCAUUUGUAAGUCACUUUUUAAUUCAUUUUUUGUAUGUAUACAUAUGUAUAUAACAUAUGCAAAGCCAGAUGUAAAGAAGUUCCUUGCUUGUCUUGCUGACAUCAGCCUUCUUGUCCAGCUAUGAUGAAGAAGCAAUCCCAUGGUGAAGUGCACACAGCUCAUUCCUGCAAGACUUUGCACUACUCACAGCUUCUCCUGAACCCUGCACCCUAAGAUCCAAGCAGAAAAUAACGAGCAAAAUAUUAGCAAAAUCCAUGAGUCUGAAUCACCAGUUUAGUCUUCAUUCUGACUGAAGAGAUGAAGUGAACAUUGGCUUUAAAUUUUCAAGUACAGCCAGCUAAGCUACACCUUCCAAACAUUGUGCAUAAGGCAGGGGGUAUCCUGUUCAAUGUCAGAAGAGAUGGCAGAAAGCUUGGAGGAAUUACUGCUUGGCAGGCAAGAGAAAAGAACGAGAGCCCAAAUGCAACUGGCCAGCUGGGAGCACACUGCUGCUCCUGCAAAGUUCUUCAAGGAGAAAUGCUGACACAGCCAUUUCCAGCACUAUUUGCUGCUGCAAGGAAUACUUAAGGGAGCGGAUGGACUGAUGUGGGUCAACCACCUAGUGAUAUUACCAUCACAAUCUUGUUAUUUUUUUCUUGGCCUGCAGUUUGUGGGAGGAAAAAGCUCCAAUAAACAAAAUUCGAUUCUCCUCCUGCUCAUCUUUGGGAUUUUUCAUGCAUUGGGUUCCUUCCCUUGCUGGGAUGGGACCAAUUCGUGGGAAGAUUUGGACUUCACCCCAAAAAGUGAUUCAGCCUUUCCAGUCCCAGACCAAGCAGCUGCAACUUUCUGUGCCAGUAGUGUUAGCUCACCUAAACCAACCUCCCACCCCCAAUAACCAGCAAAUGCAAAACAGUGGAAGUUCCUGAUUAAAAAAAUAGCAUUGAAACACAUCUCAAAACUAUGAAGCACUGCAUUGUCAUCCUUUAAUUGCAGUAACAGGAGUUCCAAAUGUUUUAAACACUUUCCCAUCCACAAAGUCAAAAUCUUUCACAGCCUACAGCUACUGCAAAAUCCAAAUAUUGGAAAGGCAAGCUGUACGAAUUGUGUCAUUUAAAUCAUAGUUUAAGAUGCUCCUAGACUUCAGUAUUGUGGUGGUGAUGUCAAGGCAUCCAUAUUGGCCAUGGCUGCAUUUGUACCAACCAUGGGCGUUCUUUUCAUGGUGAGCUCAGAGGUUGAUGACACAGAGACAAGGCACAGAGUUCUGUGGGAAUACAGUGAAAUUUGAAAGCUAUUCCACAUAUUUGGGCUCUACAUCUUGUUUGGCCACACACAGGCCUAUUUAAUGCCUUUGUGGGCCAGAAUCUGCAGUGGGGACAGCCCCACUGAGACAGCCAGUGACUCAGGGUUUGCAGUUGCACAAUCAAGAUUCAAGGCUGAAGGCAGAGAUCUAAUCUUUCACAUUUUGGGUGUAAAAUCCUUGAGAAAUGCAAAAUAAAGGCUAAUAGUGGCCACUGGAAAUUUUUAUGUUAAAAUGUAGAGGGGAAAAAAAAAAGGUACGCAAAGAGUAAAGUUAUUGCUCCAAUAUGGACUACCUCAGGUAUUGGCUGAUCAUAAGCAUCCAUACUCUGCAGUGACAACUCCAUCUCUUCAUGCAGGUGCUUUUCCCUUUGGCCUUGUUCCCCAGUGUAAAUCAGACCACAGUUUGGCUCAGCUGUGGUGUCAGGUAUCUGCCCAGUACUUGGUUUCAUCCCAGCUCCUGGAAGUUAACCAUAAAUAAAGAUAGACUGUCAUGAGAAGCAGCAGGUAGACUGUAUUUUUCCCCCAGACCCUUGUGGCUUGUGUCAUAAGUCUGUCAAAUACAAAUGUUUGAAAAAAUCCCUUCUGACUACAUUAAUUUUAAUUAAGUAUCAAGCUGGGAGACUAUCAGAAGAGAAAGAACUGAGAUAGCAAUGCAAUUUAAAACCCAAUUAAAAUGCAUUUAAGUUUCUGUGUUCUGACUGUUGUUUUGAUCUGCACCAGUGUGAGGUGGGUUGGGAGGCUUCUUUCAGAGAGGGAAUUUUUGACUCAGAUCAGGGAGGGAAGACAGGGUAGGAUGAGUUUCUCUUCUCUGACACCUCUUUUUCACUGUGUUUUUUCAGUAAGAGACAUAGAAUUCCUUGAGGAACCACAGAAUCACAGAACUGUAGCGGCUGGAAAGGACCUCUGGAGAUCAUCUAGUCCAAAUCCUAUACUAAAGCAUGUUCCUCACAAUAGGUUGCAGGUUCCCUGGUGUAGGUUGCAGACCUAUAAUCACAGCUCUCUUCCUUUCCCAACAAACCAUCACACUCUUUGUGCCCCAUAGGUAAUGAACUUGCUCUAUCUUCCUCAUAGGAAAUAUCAUUUGAUCAGCCCUUCCUUUCCUUACUAAACAGCUAGCACUUUUUUUUCCCCCUUUCAGAUAAUUAACACAUCUAGUUCAACCCCAAACACUUGCUAGUGAAGUGUAACCAUCACAUGGUUAUCUUGCUUCUAGAGCAGGGGCAGCCUGGUUGAAGAUUCAUGAUCCUUGGGGUCCCUUCCAACCCAGGCCAUUCUAUGAUUCUGUGAUUCUAUGUUUUCAGAAGACCUGCUUUCAUGGAAACGUUUUCUACUGCCAUCUGCUUUGAUGAUAGCCAAUGUUUGGGUGCCAUGCUUAUGCUGUCACAUCACACUGUGUGCCCUGUCUGAUGGAAGAUGUGUAACCUUGCCAGCUUUGCAGUUGCAAUUCAGUAGCCCAUAAGCACACUUGCAGAAGGAUUUGUAUAGAGCUGGAAGCCAAUCUAUAAGGGGUCUACUACACAAAGGGAGUUGAGGCUUGGGCAGUACCACCCAAAAAAUACCUUAAAUUGGGCUUUCUGGAUCUGGGAUCUUUGAUCUUCACAGAGUGAAGAGGAAAACCUACUGCACUGAGAAGGUAGGAUUCUGGAAAAGAUGACCAAAACCAGUGCCAAACUCAUCUGGGAUCAAAGGUACUAAUCCACAUUUGAGAUAUCAUCUUUAACAGUGGUCACCAUUGACUACUCCCAAGGAAUUUGUGAGAAACUCCAUAGUUGUGGGAAUCGCCCACUUGACAAAGAUACAAGUCUGAGAUGGUUUGUAGCUCCUAGGCAAGAAGAGCUCUAUCUGAUCCAAAACUUUGAUGAUCUCUUUGAGGAGACACUCACUCACCUCUAAACUUUGCUGAGAUCUUGGAAUUAAAUGAUUGGAAUGGGAAAAAAAUGUGGAAUUUAAACGUUUGAAAUAUCUUUGCAAAUUCCUGCCCCCAGGCUGGUGCUCAGAGACAGGUCUCUGUUUCUACUUGUCAAUUAGAUUCUUACUUGAAUUAUUUACUGUAUCAUUACUGAAGAUCAAUUCCGUAGGCUAAAUCCUCUCAAGGCUAUUAGUGACUAGAGAAGAUAGGAGAAAGGAAAAUGGUUUCAAACUAAAAGAGGGAAGAUAUAGAUUGUAUAUAAGGAAAAGUGUUUUAUGAUAAGGGUAGUGAGGCAUUGGCACAGUUGCCUGGAGAGAUGGUGGUGUCCCAUCCCUGUAGACACCCAAGGUCAGGUUGGAUGGGGCUCUGAGCACCGAUGGAGCUGUGGGUGUCCCUGUGCACUGCAGGGGUGUUGGACCAGAUGACCUUUAAAGAGUCUCUUUCAACUCAAACAAUUCUACAAUUCCAUGAAAAUGGAGUCCCAUUCAAACAGCUUAAGCUGGUAAGGAAGAGAAUGAGGCUGCAAGCAAAGAGAAAGUGACAAGCAGGACUGAUGUGAGGAAAGCAGAAAAGGAGAAGGAGUAGAUGUCUUGAACUGGAACAAGUUGAGACACUGAGGUUUCAUAAAUAACCUGUCUGAGUUUGUUAAAAGAGUCCCAAGUCCCUUCAGGUACUGAGAAAGCCUAGGGCUGUGUUGUUUGCUGUGACUGGUGGACAUUUAAUAAGAGAAACCGAACACUGCAGGAGUUGGGGUCAGGAGCUGCUUCCUCAUAGGGGUUUCCUGGGAUCCAAGUCCUGUGUCACCUAAAUCUGCACCCAGUGCAGAGGCCACAGCAGCAGAGCAGGAAUGGUGGGAGAAGAUGGCACAACACCUGCAUGGUGCCGAGAGCAAGUGGUAGAUGCAGGAAAGUUAAAUACCAGGCAACACUCAUUUCCUAGCAGUAGCCCAGGGAUAGAACUGAAUAGCCGUGAGAUGAUGGCUUUGCCAGCCACCACUUUGCACUGCUGUAAUGUUUUUGCAGUUGAACCAUCUGGUAUUACGGGUAGUUGUCACAGAUGUAAAAGUUAUUGGUUGAAACCUCCUCGCAGCCUCUCUCUCUUUCAGUCUCAUCCUUGUUGCCCUGGAAUAAAAUCACAGUAUGGCCAGGGUUGGAAGGGACCUCAAGGAUCAUCAAGCUUCAACUCCCCUGCCACAUGCAGGGCCACCAACCUCCACAUUUAAUAUCAGACCAGUCUCAGGGUGUCAUCCAGCCUGGCCUUGAACACCAAGGAUGGACGGGGCAUCCACAGCCUCUCUGGGCAGCUGCUCCAGCACCUCACCACUCUCAUAGCAAAGAACUUCCUCCUGACAUCCAACCUCAAUCUGCCCUCCUUCAACUUCAAACCAUUUCCCCUUGUCCUGCAGUUAUCUACCCUUUCAAAGAGUUGACUCCCCUCCUGUUCAUAGGCUCCCUUUAUGUACUGAAAGACUCAGGAAGAAUACUUACUGGCCUCAUGAAGAAAUAAAACACGUUGUAAUCAUGGCCAUGGCUCUGGUGCAUUCUUAGAAUGGCAGUAAAUAUUUAUGUAGAUAAUGAAAGCAUCAAGAAUUGAAAUAAUUGUUUUCACGUAACAAAGAAAAUAAGAAUUUCUUAUAAGGGAGAUAAAUCUUCUUUCUCGGGUACAAAUCUGAUGUAAAACUCCAAUUGUGCUUCUGCAGGGGAUGUUGAUUUCCUUUUAAUAAUUCAUGGUGUUUUUGUCUUAGAGGGCAGUGAUAGUAUUUCUGAACACGUAGUCCAAAAAAAAUUAAAAUACUUGAGUUUUCUUUUCAGAA
This is a long non-coding RNA of Tympanuchus pallidicinctus (lesser prairie-chicken), 8277 nucleotides long. RefSeq lists it as uncharacterized. NCBI's taxonomy places the organism in Eukaryota, Metazoa, Chordata, Aves, Galliformes, Phasianidae. The record is from RefSeq and is a predicted model, not a curated record. The transcript is spliced from 4 exons.